ACGGGUGAGUAAUGUAUCGGAACGUGCCUAGUAGCGGGGGAUAACUACGCGAAAGCGUAGCUAAUACCGCAUACGCCCUACGGGGGAAAGCAGGGGAUCGUAAGACCUUGCACUAUUAGAGCGGCCGAUAUCGGAUUAGCUAGUUGGUGGGGUAACGGCUCACCAAGGCGACGAUCCGUAGCUGGUUUGAGAGGACGACCAGCCACACUGGGACUGAGACACGGCCCAGACUCCUACGGGAGGCAGCAGUGGGGAAUUUUGGACAAUGGGGGAAACCCUGAUCCAGCCAUCCCGCGUGUGCGAUGAAGGCCUUCGGGUUGUAAAGCACUUUUGGCAGGAAAGAAACGUCAUGGGUUAAUACCCCGUGAAACUGACGGUACCUGCAGAAUAAGCACCGGCUAACUACGCGCCAGCAGCCGCGGUAAUACGUAGGGUGCAAGCGUUAAUCGGAAUUACUGGGCGUAAAGCGUGCGCAGGCGGUUCGGAAAGAAAGAUGUGAAAUCCCAGAGCUUAACUUUGGAACUGCAUUUUUAACUACCGGGCUAGAGUGUGUCAGAGGGAGGUGGAAUUCCGCGU
RNAcentral lists this ribosomal RNA (576 nucleotides) under uncultured bacterium. RNAcentral's name for it is "bacterial SSU rRNA". It matches the Rfam family "Bacterial small subunit ribosomal RNA", at positions 102 to 674 of the family's 1533-position model. The record is from RNAcentral.